Molecule: ribosomal RNA, 431 nt
Filed under: uncultured bacterium
Lineage: Bacteria
Description: bacterial SSU rRNA
Rfam family: Bacterial small subunit ribosomal RNA
Source: RNAcentral
UCGAAAGACCUUGCGCUUAAGGAGCGGCCGAUGUCUGAUUAGCUAGUUGGUGGGGUAAAGGCCUACCAAGGCGACGAUCAGUAGUUGGUCUGAGAGGACGACCAACCACACUGGGACUGAGACACGGCCCAGACUCCUACGGGAGGCAGCAGUGGGGAAUUUUGGACAAUGGGCGCAAGCCUGAUCCAGCCAUGCCGCGUGAGUGAAGAAGGCCUUCGGGUUGUAAAGCUCUUUCAGUUGGGAAGAAACGAUUACAACUAAUAAUUGUAAUUAAUGACGGUACCGACAGAAGAAGCACCGGCUAACUACGUGCCAGCAGCCGCGGUAAUACGUAGGGUGCGAGCGUUAAUCGGAAUUACUGGGCGUAAAGGGUGCGCAGGCGGUUUUGUAAGUCAGAUGUGAAAUCCCCGGGCUUAACCUGGGAAUGGCGU